Molecule: ribosomal RNA, 788 nt
Filed under: uncultured archaeon
Lineage: Archaea
Description: bacterial SSU rRNA
Rfam family: Archaeal small subunit ribosomal RNA
Source: RNAcentral
ACGGCUCAGUAACACGUAGUCAACAUGCCCAGGGGACGUGGAUAACCUCGGGAAACUGAGGAUAAACCGCGAUAGGUCAUUACUUCUGGAAUGGGUAAUGACUUAAAUCUAUAUGGCCCCUGGAUUGGACUGCGGCCGAUCAGGCUGUUGGUGAGGUAAUGGCCCACCAAACCUGUAACCGGUACGGGCUCUGAGAGGAGGAGCCCGGAGAUGGGCACUGAGACAAGGGCCCAGGCCCUAUGGGGCGCAGCAGGCGCGAAACCUCUGCAAUAGGCGAAAGCUUGACAGGGUUACUCUGAGUGAUUUCCGUUAAGGAGAUCUUUUGGCACCUCUAAAAAUGGUGCAGAAUAAGGGGUGGGCAAGUCUGGUGUCAGCCGCCGCGGUAAUACCAGCACCCCGAGUGGUCAGGACGUUUAUUGGGCCUAAAGCAUCCGUAGCCGGUUCUACAAGUCUUCCGUUAAAUCCACCUGCUUAACAGAUGGGCUGCGGAAGAUACUAUAGAGCUAGGAGGCGGGAGAGGCAAGCGGUACUCGAUGGGUAGGGGUAAAAUCCGUUGAUCCAUUGAAGACCACCAGUGGCGAAGGCGGCUUGCCAGAACGCGCUCGACGGUGAGGGAUGAAAGCUGGGGGAGCAAACCGGAUUAGAUACCCGGGUAGUCCCAGCUGUAAACGAUGCAGACUCGGUGAUGAGUUGGCUUAUUGCUAACUCAGUGCCGCAGGGAAGCCGUUAAGUUUGCCGCCUGGGGAGUACGGUCGCAAGACUGAAACUUAAAGGAAUUGGCGGGGGAG